This is a long non-coding RNA of Orcinus orca (killer whale), 300 nucleotides long. RefSeq lists it as uncharacterized. The record is from RefSeq and is a predicted model, not a curated record. The transcript has 2 exons. Lineage: Eukaryota; Metazoa; Chordata; Mammalia; Artiodactyla; Delphinidae.
GCAGCCCGACCGCCCGAGCGCAGCCCGGGGUUUGUGCGCACGUGCGGACGGAAGGGACCACGAGAUGGAGGUAUUGGUUUCUCCAUUAUACAGAUGAGGAAACGAGACUCAGUCACACUGAGAGUUAAAGUAAGAGAUGGAGGGAGCCACAGAUGAUUUCACAGUUGUACUGUCGCAUGAGGGUCCGUAUAAAAUGGGCUCAGCUGGUCCUUUUGCAGUGUUAACCCAGAGGCACUCUAGAACCAAGGAUGACUUGAUUGCAAAACUGGGAGAUACAAAUAAUAAAAUGAGAAAACUGUU